Molecule: ribosomal RNA, 384 nt
Filed under: Triticum aestivum (bread wheat)
Lineage: Eukaryota; Viridiplantae; Streptophyta; Magnoliopsida; Poales; Poaceae
Description: partial small subunit ribosomal RNA
Source: RNAcentral
AUGGGACUUUUUAAAUUCCCAGUCUCAUUAUAUGAGGAACUUGCUCAUAUUAUAAGGAAUUUCUGGUGGGGAGUCGAAGAGGAUAGAAGGAAAACACAUUGGCUAGCUUGGGAUAAACUAACAAAACCAAAAAGUAAGAGCGGCAUGGGGUUCCGUGAUCUAAGGUUAUUUAAUCAAGCUCUAUUAGCUAAGCAAGCCUGGAGGUUAUUAGUGUACCCGAACUCGUUGUGUGCUAUGGUUUUGAAGGCAAAAUAUUAUCCCAAUGGUCAUAUAUUGGAUACGGUUUUCCCGCAAGCCACGUCGGUGAAUUGGAAGGGUAUUAUGCAUGGAUUGGAACUGUUAAAAAAAGGUCAUAUGGAGAGUGGUCGAUGGCAACAAUGUUAA